GAUGAAGAACGUAGCGAAAUGCGAUACGUAAUGUGAAUUGCAGAAUUCAGUGAAUCAUCGAAUCUUUGAACGCAUAUUGCGCUCUCUGGUAUUCCGGAGAGCAUGCUUGUUUGAGUAUCAGUAAACACCUCAACUCCCUUUUCUUUUUUGAAAUUGGAGCUGGACUUGAGUGAUCCCAACGCUUUCUUCCAAGAAAGUGGCGGGUUGCUUGAAAUGCAGGUGCAGCUGAACUUUUCUCUGAGCUAUAAGCAUAUCUAUUUAGUCUGCCUAAAAAACAGAUUAUUACCUUUGCUGCAGCUAACAUAAAGGAGACUAGUUCUUGUGCUGACUGAUGCAGGAUUCACAGAGACAGCUUCGGCUGACUUUGUAAACUCGAUCUCAAAUCAAGUAAGACUACCCGCUGAACUUAAGCAUAUCAAAGCGGAGGA
Molecule: unclassified non-coding RNA, 428 nt
Filed under: soil metagenome
Description: partial contains 5.8S ribosomal RNA, internal transcribed spacer 2, and large subunit ribosomal RNA
Rfam family: 5.8S ribosomal RNA (bases 1-120)
Source: RNAcentral